AUGAGUCGGGGUGAGUACUCCUCUCAAUUUUCCACCUCUGAGCUGUGUGUUGCAGGAGAGGGAGGUUCCCAGCUGCAUCUCGUUGGCAAUCAGCGGGCCCGGCCACAUAAGGAGGAAGGAGAACACACCUCGACACCAGAUGAUUACUACAGCUUGGUUUUUGGAACGUCUCUGAUUCUGCGACUCCUCAGGAUUACUCACCCGUGCUUCAUAGGAUUUCUGGAAGCAGCUCUCAGCCGUUCUCCAUUCCUCCUUACUGACCCACUCAUCUGCCCUCCUCACGCUACCUCUCCUGGACCCCUCUCUUGGAUACUCCCCGGCUCUCAACGUGCCCUCCCUCAUCCUGGUGCUUUCUCAUCUCCCAGUUGCUGGCAGACUGGAGGAGCUGAGCACGGGAAGGAGGACGGAUCCGGUCAGGUGGGUGGUCAGGGAGAAGUGGACGACCAGAGACUGGCUGGGAGACAGAGGAACGGGUCCGGAUGGGUUGCAGCACCCUGAUGGCCUGUGAGGUUCUUCAUCUCCUCACGCUUAGACUACUGUAACUCUCUUUUCACGUGUCUGAGCAGAACCUCCCUGAACCGUCUACAGGUGGUUCAGAACGCCUGUGCUCGGCUUCUGACCAAGUCCUCCACGGCUCGACUUAUGAUGGUAUGUGUGAAGAGGGGUAACAUAAAAUAUGUAAUGUUACGUGAGAUGUUACGUCCAAAAUAAAGUGUUUUAUAGUUUCAAGGAGACACAAAGAGCAACCAGAUGUUAGUAACGUGAACCAAGGGAGGGCGGGCUAAACGCCGUCUAACACAGAGGAUCUGAAUGUGUAAGUGUUUUAAGCCAGGCCACCGGGCUAACUCUAGGUGUUAAAUCUCAAGGCCUUGGGAGUUCGGGGGGUGGGGGUGGGGGGUCCAGAAGAGGGAGGGGGGCGUUCAGGCCCAUUACAUCUAUCACAGUUUACUGAUCCCAAUGCAGAACCGUCUCUGCCCGAGAUCCGUGAUGAUCUGGAGAUCUGCAGGCCGUCUGGGUCUGUUGUCUCUCUGACUAACACGUCCGCAGCCCAAAUUAAACGAAUGCUGAGCAGCUGCUCUCUCCCGCAGCUGUCAGUGACACAAGGGAGGGGAGGAGAUGGAGGCUGUCCUGGACUGUCGCUGUCCGUGGUGCCAGUCAACUUCAGGGUUCAUUUCAAGAUCCUGGUUCUGGUCUAUAGGGCCUUACAUGGACAAGCACCAUCUUACAUUGGU
RNAcentral lists this long non-coding RNA (1232 nucleotides) under Nothobranchius furzeri (turquoise killifish). RNAcentral describes it as "lncRNA (ENSNFUG00015021529.1)". The record is from RNAcentral. Lineage: Eukaryota; Metazoa; Chordata; Actinopteri; Cyprinodontiformes; Nothobranchiidae.